GCUCAGUCAGUUAAAGGGUCCAACUCUUGGUUUUAGCCCAAGUCAUGAUCUGUCAAUUGUGAGUUCAAGCCCCACAUUGGGCU
This 83-nucleotide transfer RNA is filed under the name Felis catus (domestic cat). It matches the Rfam family "tRNA". Rfam says of the family: Transfer RNA (tRNA) molecules are approximately 80 nucleotides in length. Their secondary structure includes four short double-helical elements and three loops (D, anti-codon, and T loops). RNAcentral also lists the same sequence under 6 other names. Lineage: Eukaryota; Metazoa; Chordata; Mammalia; Carnivora; Felidae. The record is from Rfam by way of RNAcentral.